Molecule: ribosomal RNA, 600 nt
Filed under: uncultured bacterium
Lineage: Bacteria
Description: bacterial SSU rRNA
Rfam family: Bacterial small subunit ribosomal RNA
Source: RNAcentral
UGCAAGUCGAACGGCAGCACGGGAGCAAUCCUGGUGGCGAGUGGCGAACGGGUGAGUAAUAUAUCGGAACGUGCCCAGUCGUGGGGGAUAACGCAGCGAAAGCUGUGCUAAUACCGCAUACGAUCUACGGAUGAAAGCGGGGGAUCGCAAGACCUCGCGCGAUUGGAGCGGCCGAUAUCAGAUUAGCUAGUUGGUGGGGUAAAAGCCCACCAAGGCGACGAUCUGUAGCUGGUCUGAGAGGACGACCAGCCACACUGGGACUGAGACACGGCCCAGACUCCUACGGGAGGCAGCAGUGGGGAAUUUUGGACAAUGGGCGAAAGCCUGAUCCAGCCAUGCCGCGUGCAGGAUGAAGGCCUUCGGGUUGUAAACUGCUUUUGUACGGAACGAAAAGGUCUUUUCUAAUAAAGAAGGCUCAUGACGGUACCGUAAGAAUAAGCACCGGCUAACUACGUGCCAGCAGCCGCGGUAAUACGUAGGGUGCAAGCGUUAAUCGGAAUUACUGGGCGUAAAGCGUGCGCAGGCGGUUAUAUAAGACAGAUGUGAAAUCCCCGGGCUCAACCUGGGAACUGCAUUAGUGACUGUAUAGCUAGAGUGCGG